UAUAUAUUUUUCUUUAUUAAGGCCACUCUUAUAUUGUUUCAGAUAUCUCCAUUUCUAAUCUUAUCUCUUAUUACGCACACACUUAUUUUCACAACUUUCAUCUUCUGAACAGAAAAAUCUUAACUGAUCAACACGUAUUUCAUUUCAUAUAGCAUAAUCGAUCUUAUCACCACUCCAUAAAAUUUACCUUUUAAAUUUUGAU
Molecule: long non-coding RNA, 202 nt
Filed under: Capsicum annuum
Lineage: Eukaryota; Viridiplantae; Streptophyta; Magnoliopsida; Solanales; Solanaceae
Description: long non-coding RNA (CANN_LNC007578)
Source: RNAcentral